UACGGGGGGGGCAAGCGUUGUUCGGAAUUACUGGGCGUAAAGGGCUCGUAGGUGGCCAACUAAGUCAGACGUGAAAUCCCUCGGCUUAACCGGGGAACUGCGUCUAAUACUGGAUGGCUUGAGUUUGGGAGAGGGAUGCGGAAUUCCAGGUGUAGCGGUGAAAUGCGUAGAUAUCUGGAGGAACACCGGUGGCGAAGGCGGCAUCCUGGACCAACACUGACACUGAGGAGCGAAAGCCAGGGGAGCAAACGGG
RNAcentral lists this ribosomal RNA (253 nucleotides) under uncultured bacterium. Its description in RNAcentral is "partial 16S ribosomal RNA". It matches the Rfam family "Bacterial small subunit ribosomal RNA", at positions 524 to 776 of the family's 1533-position model. The record is from RNAcentral.